AUUGAACGCUGGCGGCAUGCCUUACACAUGCAAGUCGAACGGCAGCACGGGAGCUUGCUCCUGGUGGCGAGUGGCGAACGGGUGAGUAAUACAUCGGAACGUACCCUGAAGUGGGGGAUAACGUAGCGAAAGUUACGCUAAUACCGCAUAUUCUGUGAGCAGGAAAGAGGGGGAUCGCAAGACCUCUUGCUUUAGGAGCGGCCGAUGUCGGAUUAGCUAGUUGGUGAGGUAAAGGCUCACCAAGGCGACGAUCCGUAGCGGGUCUGAGAGGAUGAUCCGCCACACUGGGACUGAGACACGGCCCAGACUCCUACGGGAGGCAGCAGUGGGGAAUUUUGGGCAAUGGGCGCAAGCCUGAUCCAGCCAUGCCGCGUGAGUGAAGAAGGCCUUCGGGUUGUAAAGCUCUUUCGGUGGGUAGAAUGCUUCGGUAAUACCUGGAGUAGAUGAC
RNAcentral lists this ribosomal RNA (448 nucleotides) under uncultured bacterium. RNAcentral's name for it is "bacterial SSU rRNA". It matches the Rfam family "Bacterial small subunit ribosomal RNA", at positions 30 to 476 of the family's 1533-position model. The record is from RNAcentral.